GACGAACGCUGGCGGCGUGCUUAACACAUGCAAGUCGAACGGUAAGGCCCUUCGGGGUACACGAGUGGCGAACGGGUGAGUAACACGUGGGUGAUCUGCCCUGCACUUCGGGAUAAGCCUGGGAAACUGGGUCUAAUACCGGAUAGGACCCUGGGAUGCAUGUCCUGGGGUGGAAAGCUUUUGCGGUGUGGGAUGGGCCCGCGGCCUAUCAGCUUGUUGGUGGGGUGAUGGCCUACCGAGGCGACGGCGGGUAGCCGGCCUGAGAGGGUGACCGGCCACACUGGGACUGAGAUACGGCCCAGACUCCUACGGGAGGCAGCAGUGGGGAAUAUUGCACAAUGGGCGCAAGCCUGAUGCAGCGACGCCGCGUGAGGGAUGACGGCCUUCGGGUUGUAAACCUCUUUCAGCACCGACGAAGCGCAAGUGACGGUAGGUGCAGAAGAAGGACCGGCCAACUACGUGCCAGCCGCCGCGGUAA
RNAcentral lists this ribosomal RNA (478 nucleotides) under uncultured bacterium. RNAcentral describes it as "partial 16S ribosomal RNA". It matches the Rfam family "Bacterial small subunit ribosomal RNA", at positions 28 to 523 of the family's 1533-position model. The record is from RNAcentral.